This 361-nucleotide unclassified non-coding RNA is filed under the name soil metagenome. RNAcentral describes it as "partial contains 5.8S ribosomal RNA, internal transcribed spacer 2, and large subunit ribosomal RNA". The stretch from base 5 to 119 matches the Rfam family "5.8S ribosomal RNA", at positions 40 to 154 of the family's 154-position model. The record is from RNAcentral.
GAUGAGAACGUAGCGAAAUGCGAUAAGUAAUGUGAAUUGCAGAAUUCAGUGAAUCAUCGAAUCUUUGAACGCACCUUGCGCUCCUUGGUAUUCCGAGGAGCAUGCCUGUUUGAGUGUCAUUAAUAUAUCAACCUUCUCUUUUUUGAGUUGUUUGGAUGUGGGGGUUUGCUGGCCUCUUAAAUGAUUCAGCUCCCCUGAAAUGCAUUAGCAGAACAACCUGUUCAUUGGCGUGAUAAUUAUCUAUGCUAUUGAAUGUGAGGGCAGUUCAGCUUUCUAACCGUCCUUGGACAAUUCAUCAUUAAUGUGACCUCAAAUCAGGUAGGACUACCCGCUGAACUUAAGCAUAUCAAUAAGCGGAGGA